RNAcentral lists this ribosomal RNA (231 nucleotides) under Triticum aestivum (bread wheat). RNAcentral's name for it is "partial small subunit ribosomal RNA". The record is from RNAcentral. Lineage: Eukaryota; Viridiplantae; Streptophyta; Magnoliopsida; Poales; Poaceae.
AUGGACUCGUCCAGCUCCCACCCGCCCUUGGGGAACAUCAUGCCGUGCCCCUUCUGCGAGCUGAUCACCAGCACCUCCAGCUCGCCCUCGCCCUCGCCGCCGCCGCCGCGCACCCGGUAGGGGAUGCACCCCACCACGAUGCGCCCGCCGGUGCUCGCGCUGUACCGCUGCAGCUCGCGCCCCUGCCUCGCCACAAGAACGGCCAUCGUUCGAAUCUUUAGCUCGCUGUAA